Molecule: ribosomal RNA, 1528 nt
Filed under: Salmonella enterica subsp. enterica serovar Heidelberg
Lineage: Bacteria; Pseudomonadati; Pseudomonadota; Gammaproteobacteria; Enterobacterales; Enterobacteriaceae
Description: partial 23S ribosomal RNA
Rfam family: Bacterial large subunit ribosomal RNA
Source: RNAcentral
GAAUGCUGACAUAAGUAACGAUAAAGCGGGUGAAAAGCCCGCUCGCCGGAAGACCAAGGGUUCCUGUCCAACGUUAAUCGGGGCAGGGUGAGUCGACCCCUAAGGCGAGGCCGAAAGGCGUAGUCGAUGGGAAACGGGUUAAUAUUCCCGUACUUGGUGUUACUGCGAAGGGGGGACGGAGAAGGCUAUGUUGGCCGGGCGACGGUUGUCCCGGUUUAAGCGUGUAGGUGUGUGUUCCAGGUAAAUCCGGUUCACUUUAACACUGAGGCGUGAUGACGAGGCACUACGGUGCUGAAGCAACAAAUGCCCUGCUUCCAGGAAAAGCCUCUAAGCAUCAGGUAACAUCAAAUCGUACCCCAAACCGACACAGGUGGUCAGGUAGAGAAUACCAAGGCGCUUGAGAGAACUCGGGUGAAGGAACUAGGCAAAAUGGUGCCGUAACUUCGGGAGAAGGCACGCUGACACGUAGGUGAAGUGAUUUACUCACGGAGCUGAAGUCAGUCGAAGAUACCAGCUGGCUGCAACUGUUUAUUAAAAACACAGCACUGUGCAAACACGAAAGUGGACGUAUACGGUGUGACGCCUGCCCGGUGCCGGAAGGUUAAUUGAUGGGGUCAGCGCAAGCGAAGCUCCUGAUCGAAGCCCCGGUAAACGGCGGCCGUAACUAUAACGGUCCUAAGGUAGCGAAAUUCCUUGUCGGGUAAGUUCCGACCUGCACGAAUGGCGUAAUGAUGGCCAGGCUGUCUCCACCCGAGACUCAGUGAAAUUGAACUCGCUGUGAAGAUGCAGUGUACCCGCGGCAAGACGGAAAGACCCCGUGAACCUUUACUAUAGCUUGACACUGAACAUUGAGCCUUGAUGUGUAGGAUAGGUGGGAGGCUUUGAAGUGUGGACGCCAGUCUGCAUGGAGCCGACCUUGAAAUACCACCCUUUAAUGUUUGAUGUUCUAACGUGGACCCGUUACCCGGGUUGCGGACAGUGUCUGGUGGGUAGUUUGACUGGGGCGGUCUCCUCCUAAAGAGUAACGGAGGAGCACGAAGGUUGGCUAAUCCUGGUCGGACAUCAGGAGGUUAGUGCAAUGGCAUAAGCCAGCUUGACUGCGAGCGUGACGGCGCGAGCAGGUGCGAAAGCAGGUCAUAGUGAUCCGGUGGUUCUGAAUGGAAGGGCCAUCGCUCAACGGAUAAAAGGUACUCCGGGGAUAACAGGCUGAUACCGCCCAAGAGUUCAUAUCGACGGCGGUGUUUGGCACCUCGAUGUCGGCUCAUCACAUCCUGGGGCUGAAGUAGGUCCCAAGGGUAUGGCUGUUCGCCAUUUAAAGUGGUACGCGAGCUGGGUUUAGAACGUCGUGAGACAGUUCGGUCCCUAUCUGCCGUGGGCGCUGGAGAACUGAGGGGGGCUGCUCCUAGUACGAGAGGACCGGAGUGGACGCAUCACUGGUGUUCGGGUUGUCAUGCCAAUGGCACUGCCCGGUAGCUAAAUGCGGAAGAGAUAAGUGCUGAAAGCAUCUAAGCACGAAACUUGCCCCGAG